This 608-nucleotide long non-coding RNA is filed under the name Homo sapiens (human). RNAcentral's name for it is "non-protein coding MHENCR:19". The record is from RNAcentral. Lineage: Eukaryota; Metazoa; Chordata; Mammalia; Primates; Hominidae.
ACCGACACUGUCAGCUCCUAACGCCGCAGGUUCCUCCUGGUCCCCGAGGCCCCCGGUCGGGCGUUGCCUGCCCCGCGCGGGCGGCCGGGCCGAGGGACGAUGGUCAGUGGACGGACGGCGCCAGGGAGCAGUGCCCACGCGCGGCAGGGCGGUACCUUCAGGCCUCCAGGUGUCAUCGAACACCCUUGUGCUUGCUGUCACCCGCUGCCUGUCUGCAGGAUCCCGGAUUCCGUAUCAGGGGACCGAAAUUAGUCGGAAAAUAGGAAGCAGGUGCUCGCUUGGAUGGAACCCUGACCCUGUGCUCACACUUGUAGGAGGAGGGCUCUGCAGGCCGCCUCCCGGAACGGGAGGUUCCCAAGCCACUGCACUUCGGAGGGGCUGUAAUUAGAGUUGCACAUUCAUUCAGUUCCCAGUAAAGUAGAACGUGCUCCAGCCAGUGAGGAAAAGGUGUUUUUAAAAAUUAGAUUGGCCGAGUGCGGUGGCUCAUGCCUUUUACCUCAACACUUUGGGAGACAAAGGUGGGAGGAUCACCUGUGGCCAGGAGUUCAAGACCAGCCUGGGCAACAGAGCCUGUCUCUGGGGAAGAAUAAAAAAAAAAAUUGAGCCUU